RNAcentral lists this ribosomal RNA (399 nucleotides) under uncultured bacterium. Its description in RNAcentral is "bacterial SSU rRNA". It matches the Rfam family "Bacterial small subunit ribosomal RNA", at positions 64 to 507 of the family's 1533-position model. The record is from RNAcentral.
GAGCGCUCGUAGCAAUACGGGAGCGGCAGACGGGAGAGUAACACGUGGGAACGUACCCUUCGGUUCGGAAUAACCCAGGGAAACUUGGGCUAAUACCGGAUACGUCCGUAAGGAGAAAGAUUUAUCGCUGAAGGAUCGGCCCGCGUCUGAUUAGCUAGUUGGUGGGGUAAUGGCCCACCAAGGCGACGAUCAGUAGCUGGUCUGAGAGGAUGAUCAGCCUCACUGGGACUGAGACACGGCCCAGACUCCUACGGGAGGCAGCAGUGGGGAAUAUUGGACAAUGGGCGCAAGCCUGAUCCAGCCAUGCCGCGUGGGUGAUGAAGGCCCUAGGGUUGUAAAGCCCUUUCGGCGGGGAAGAUAAUGACGGUACCCGCAGAAGAAGCCCCGGCUAACUUCGUG